RNAcentral lists this ribosomal RNA (1547 nucleotides) under Clostridioides difficile. RNAcentral describes it as "bacterial LSU rRNA". It matches the Rfam family "Bacterial large subunit ribosomal RNA", at positions 1 to 1557 of the family's 2925-position model. Lineage: Bacteria; Bacillati; Bacillota; Clostridia; Peptostreptococcales; Peptostreptococcaceae. The record is from RNAcentral.
UGGUCAAGUUAUUAAGGGUGCAGGGCGGAUGCCUUGGCACUAGGAGCCGAUGAAGGACGUGAUAAGCUGCGAUAAGCUUCGGGGAGUUGCACGUAAACUUUGAUCCGAAGAUUUCCGAAUGAGGAAACUCACUUAGAGUAAUGUCUAAGUAUCAUUAAGUGAAUACAUAGCUUAAUGAGGGGAACUCAGGGAACUGAAACAUCUAAGUACCUGAAGGAAGAGAAAGAAAUUCGAUUCCGUAAGUAGCGGCGAGCGAACGCGGAUUAGCCCAAACCAAUAAAGUUUUCUUUAUUGGGGUUGCGGACAUAUCAUAACGAAGAGGUAUCGUAAUUGAAGAGGUUUGGAAAGACCCACCACAGAAGGUAAUAGUCCUGUAUGUUAAACGAGAAGACUUUAGAUAUGAUCCAGAGUACCACGGGACACGUGAAACCCUGUGGGAAGCAGGAGGGACCACCCUCCAAGGCUAAAUACUACCUAGUGACCGAUAGCGUAUAGUACCGUGAGGGAAAGGUGAAAAGAACCCCGGGAGGGGAGUGAAAUAGAACCUGAAACCCUGCACUUACAAGCUGUGGAAGCACAUUUCUUGUGUGACCGCGUACUUUUUGUAGAACGGGCCAACGAGUUACGUUAAGUAGCAAGGUUAAGCACUUAAGGUGUGGAGCCGUAGCGAAAGCGAGUUUUAACUGAGCGUUCAGUUACUUGACGUAGACCCGAAACCGGGCGACCUACCCAUGAGCAGGAUGAAGCGAAAGUAAAAUUUCGUGGAGGUCCGAACCCACGAGCGUUGAAAAGCUCGGGGAUGACUUGUGGGUAGCGGUGAAAUUCCAAUCGAGCCCGGAGAUAGCUGGUUCUCCCCGAAAUAGCUUUAGGGCUAGCCUCAAGGUGAGAGAUACGGAGGUAGAGCACUGAAUGUCCUAGGGGGUAUUGCACCUACCGAAGACUAUCAAACUCCGAAUGCCGUCAUCUUAUACUUGGGAGUCAGACUGUGGGUGAUAAGAUUCAUAGUCGAAAGGGCAACAGCCCAGAUCGUCAGCUAAGGUCCCUAAAUGUAAGUUAAGUGGUAAAGGAUGUGGGAUUGCACAGACAACCAGGAUGUUGGCUUAGAAGCAGCCACUCAUUCAAAGAGUGCGUAAUAGCUCACUGGUCGAGUGAUCCUGCGCCGAAGAUUUCCGGGGCUAAAACUUACUACCGAAGCUACGGCAUCAGUAAUGAUGGGUAGGGGAGCUUCCCAUACGGGUUGAAGCAUGACCGUAAGGACAUGUGGACAGUAUGGGAGUGAGAAUGUUGGCAUGAGUAGCGAGAUGUGGGUGAGAAUCCCACAGGCCGUAAACCCAAGGUUUCCAGGGGAAGGUUCGUCCGCCCUGGGUUAGUCGGGACCUAAGCUGAGGCCGAAAGGCGUAGGUGAUGGACAACAGGUUGAUAUUCCUGUACUACCGAUAACCGUUUGAGAGAAGGGAUGACACAGUAGGAUAAGCUAAGCACACUGUUGGUUAUGUGUGCCCAAGCAUUGAGGCAGUCAAAGUAGGCAAAUCCGCUUUGAUAAUGCU